AUGAAGCAUUGGUUCCUUGUUUUGACACUGAUCCAGAGCUUCAUAUGUCAAGGUCUACCAGAAGCAGAGUUUCAUGAGCCAGGUGAGAAGACUAUCGAGGAAAGCAGCGGUCACAGCGGUCUUGUGAAGAAGGCAGUUAAGAAAAGAACGGCCCAGCCUUCUGAUGGUGUUCCAAAGAUGAAGAGGAUCAAGAUGGACCGAAAAUAUGAUGCUCUGUACCAGCAGUAUGUGAUGAGUAGGUACAAAAUAGCAAGAGCAAAGAAAGAUCAAGUAAUAGGGUUUCCACACAUCACUUCACAACUUCCAUGCUUCAUUAAAGCCAUGAGCUGA
RNAcentral lists this ribosomal RNA (330 nucleotides) under Triticum aestivum (bread wheat). RNAcentral's name for it is "partial small subunit ribosomal RNA". The record is from RNAcentral. Lineage: Eukaryota; Viridiplantae; Streptophyta; Magnoliopsida; Poales; Poaceae.